RNAcentral lists this ribosomal RNA (378 nucleotides) under uncultured cyanobacterium. Its description in RNAcentral is "bacterial SSU rRNA". It matches the Rfam family "Bacterial small subunit ribosomal RNA", at positions 376 to 770 of the family's 1533-position model. The record is from RNAcentral. Lineage: Bacteria; Bacillati; Cyanobacteriota.
CGAAAGCCUGACGGAGCAACGCCGCGUGAGGGAUGAAGGCCUCUGGGCUGUAAACCUCUUUUAUCAAGGAAGAAGAUCUGACGGUACUUGAUGAAUAAGCCACGGCUAAUUCCGUGCCAGCAGCCGCGGUAAUACGGGAGUGGCAAGCGUUAUCCGGAAUUAUUGGGCGUAAAGCGUCCGCAGGCGGUUUUGUAAGUCUGUCGUUAAAGCGUGGAGCUUAACUCCAUUUAAGCGAUGGAAACUGCAAGACUAGAGUGUGGUAGGGGCAGAGGGAAUUCCCGGUGUAGCGGUGAAAUGCGUAGAUAUCGGGAAGACACCAGUGGCGAAGGCGCUCUGCUGGGCCAUAACUGACGCUCAUGGACGAAAGCCAGGGGAGCG